UACAGAGGGGGCGAGCGUUAUUCAGAAUUAUUGGGCGUAAAGGGCGCGUAGGCGGCCUUUCAAGUGACGGGUGAAAUCCCUCGGCUUAACCGAGGAACUGCCUGUCAGACUGGAAGGCUUGAGACCGGGAGAGGUGAGUGGAAUUCCCAGUGUAGCGGUGAAAUGCGUAGAUAUUGGGAGGAACACCAGUGGCGAAGGCGGCUCACUGGACCGGUACUGACGCUGAGGCGCGAAAGCGUGGGGAGCAAACAGG
RNAcentral lists this ribosomal RNA (253 nucleotides) under uncultured bacterium. Its description in RNAcentral is "partial 16S ribosomal RNA". It matches the Rfam family "Bacterial small subunit ribosomal RNA", at positions 524 to 776 of the family's 1533-position model. The record is from RNAcentral.